AGUAAUCAGGGUAAAGUCGUAACAAGGCAUCCGUAGCGGAAGCUGUGGAUGGAUCACCUCCUUUCUGGAGU
Molecule: ribosomal RNA, 71 nt
Filed under: Candidatus Magasanikbacteria bacterium CG_4_9_14_0_2_um_filter_42_11
Lineage: Bacteria; Candidatus Magasanikiibacteriota
Description: partial 16S ribosomal RNA
Rfam family: Bacterial small subunit ribosomal RNA
Source: RNAcentral